AAAUGAUUGUAAGGAAGUUUUAUUUCUAAUUACACAGGCUUUCUUUAUUUUCAAACAAAUUCUUCUAACUCAAAACAUUUUUUUCUCCUUAAAAAAAAGGUUUAUCAGGUAACGCAUUAAAAUUAAUGACGUAGAAAGGAAGAAGAGAAGAAUGCGUCGAUCGUUGAAGAAGAGUCACGUUUGUCAUCUGAUAGUCCGCCGCCUUCUUGUACCAAAAAACAGAUCAAUAUACUAACGCCGACCGAAAAUGCAGAACUUCGUAUACCGCCAACGAUAAACGACAUAACCAGGCCCUAGAUUAUGGACGAUUAUUAUGUAUUCUGCAACGAAAAUUUUUGGAGGGAUACUACAAUCCAAGAUCGAAAGUGGACGUGGAAUACAUGGCAUUAUAAUCUACAUGGUGUACGACAAAUGCAAGUCCAUCGUACGAAACGUUCACUACACGAUAGCCGUUUGUUAAGGAAGACAAUCAUUUCCACACGAAGGAACUUGGGGUAACCCGAAAAAUUUCGAGGUUAUGUUUAUUCCGAUCUUCCUUCCUGCGUCAUUUGGACGGAAAUAGAGGUGCAACGUACCUGCCCGCCAUUAAAGCUGCCAUUCGCUAUUCCGUAAAGACGAAGAUAUCAACGUAGAAAUAGUGCAACUUACAAUGUGCAAGUGAUUAUUACAAUUGCGGGUAUUACGUCUCACUUAAUGUCGAAACAUACAAGUAUUUAAUGAAGAAGAGAAUGCCAUUGACAGAUUUUAGCAUAGCGACAGAAGUCGUAAAAUAUCGGUAUUGCUAAGAGAACUAUGCAACAACGUCGUUCCAGUAUACGAACCGAGACCGGACAAUCCGUUCGAUUAUUCAGAAAACAUUGACAACGAAGUUUAUGGAAGUUGUCGAACAAGCAGCGCAUCCAAGCGCAGACGAAUGUUCCGACUCUGACGUCAGCAUGCGAUCCACAUCUUCGACAAGUAGUAGAAGAUCGACCAGAUCUAGAUCUACAAGGAGUCGACUGGUAACGCCAAGUUUAAAAUUUUGCAAAAGAACACACGUCGUUUACGGAUGUUUCGUUCCAAAUCAUGCACACGAUGUACAGGAUUGGUGUAUUUCGACUUCGAGACGAUUGUACGAUUCGCGACGAACCGACGGGAGAGACGCACUUUUUAUAUCCCUACGGUAGCAUAAUCUAAGAGUACAUUUUGGAUCAAAGCGUCAAGGUGGAUCGACAGUUGUACGAAUUUAUUAAGAAAAGUUACGACCGUUUGACACGUCGACAGAAGUGCGUGAAUAUUUAAAAAGCGAACUCAGAAAAACCGAAAUGAAUAAAAUUGCAUUUGACACAAACAUUUUCAAACAUUGACAAAAUGUGGCAAUACGUGCAACUACAGGGUCUUUAUAUGCAAGGACCCAAUUAAAAAAAAGAAGCAGCAAAAUUUUAACCGCAGAGGGAAAAUAAAUAUGUAAGCCAUAUUCUGUGACAUAGUUUUUAGUUAUGUUUUUAUUAUUGAUCAUUUCUUUAUUUUUGUACUU
Molecule: long non-coding RNA, 1516 nt
Organism: Photinus pyralis (common eastern firefly)
Lineage: Eukaryota; Metazoa; Arthropoda; Insecta; Coleoptera; Lampyridae
Exons: 3
Source: RefSeq, a predicted model, not a curated record